AUUGAACGCUGGCGGCAGGCCUAACACAUGCAAGUCGAGCGGAUGAAGGGAGCUUGCUCCUGGAUUCAGCGGCGGACGGGUGAGUAAUGCCUAGGAAUCUGCCUUGUAUUGGGGGAUAACGUCCGGAAACGGGCGCUAAUACUGCAUACGUCCUGAGGGAGAAAGUGGGGGGUCUUCGGACCUCUCGCUAUCAGAUGAGCCUAGGUCUGAUUAGCUAGUUGGUGGGGUAAAGGCCUACCAAGGCGACGAUCCGUAACUGGUCUGAGAGGAUGAGCAGUCACAUGGGAACUGAGACAGGGUCCAGACUCCUACGGGAGGCAGCAGUGGGGAAUAUUGGUCAAUGGGCGAAAGCCUGAUCCAGCCAUGCCGCGUGUGUGAAGAAGGUCUUCGGAUUGUAAAGCACUUUAAGUUGGGAGGUAGGGCAGUAAGUUAAUACCUUGCUGUAUUGACGUUACCAACAGAAUAAGCACCGGCUAACUUCGUG
This 484-nucleotide ribosomal RNA is filed under the name uncultured bacterium. RNAcentral describes it as "partial 16S ribosomal RNA". It matches the Rfam family "Bacterial small subunit ribosomal RNA", at positions 30 to 507 of the family's 1533-position model. The record is from RNAcentral.